AAGCCUAUGCAUCAUUUUGAUUAUUGUAAACAUAAGUUUUAUUUUAAAUUUAUCAUGCUCUCAAACCCUUCAUAACAUGAUAUUACUUAUGAAACUUAAAUUAAAAUAAGCAUGAUGGCAUAUGAAAAUAUUUGGGUGCAAAACUAUCAAAUAAUUUUUGAUAUUCUUAUAAAACAUGUAACUAUUGAAAUAUUUUAAAAAUUACUUGAUUUGAAAAAUAACAAGAUAAGUCAUC
Molecule: long non-coding RNA, 235 nt
Filed under: Elaeis guineensis (African oil palm)
Lineage: Eukaryota; Viridiplantae; Streptophyta; Magnoliopsida; Arecales; Arecaceae
Description: long non-coding RNA (EGUI_LNC049290)
Source: RNAcentral